ACGCGUUUGGAGCGGCCGAUGGCAGAUUAGGUAGUUGGUGGGGUAAAGGCUUACCAAGCCUGCGAUCUGUAGCUGGUCUGAGAGGAUGAUCAGCCACACUGGGACUGAGACACGGCCCAGACUCCUACGGGAGGCAGCAGUGGGGAAUUUUGGACAAUGGGCGCAAGCCUGAUCCAGCCAUUCCGCGUGCAGGACGAAGGCCUUCGGGUUGUAAACUGCUUUUGUACGGAACGAAAGGGCUCUCUCUAAUACAGGGGGCAUAUGACGGUACCGUAAGAAUAAGCACCGGCUAACUACGUGCCAGCAGCCGCGGUAAUACGUAGGGUGCAAGCGUUAAUCGGAAUUACUGGGCGUAAAGCGUGCGCAGGCGGUUUUGUAAGACAGAGGUGAAAUCCCCGGGCUCAACCUGGGAACUGCCUUUGUGACUGCAAGGCUGGAGUGCGGCAGAGGGGGAUGGAAUUCCGCGUGUAGCAGUGAAAUGCGUAGAUAUGCGGAGGAACACCGAGGCG
RNAcentral lists this ribosomal RNA (509 nucleotides) under uncultured bacterium. RNAcentral's name for it is "bacterial SSU rRNA". It matches the Rfam family "Bacterial small subunit ribosomal RNA", at positions 215 to 717 of the family's 1533-position model. The record is from RNAcentral.